CAGAUCCAAAGCACAUACCAAUGUCCUACUGAGAGUUUCAACAACUGCCUGUGCUGCUCAGGGACUGACUCAAUCCUAUGGAUAGGAGCUGUCAGGGUAUAAGUUAAAUUUAUUAUUUUCAGAGCAGCAAUAAAAGCUGAGGCAAAGAAGGUGGAAGGAAGGGACAUUUGGAGUGAUGCUGUUUUUCUUCCCAAGAAAUUAUCACAUAUGAUAAACACUACUUUCUUGGGAGUGGGUAAACAUCUGCCUGCCAAUGGGAACUAGUGAAUAAAUUCCUUGUUUUGCUUUGUUUGUGCGUGCUGCAUUUGUUUUAUCUAGUAAGCUGUCUUUAUCUCAACCCACAAGUUCUCUCAUUCUUAUCUUUCCAAUUCUCUCCCCUAUCCCACCUGGGUACCAUAGUACCCAGCUGCCUGCCAGGGUUAAACCACAACAGCUGGUAUCUCUGAGAUUCCUGUGGGGCUCUGCACAAAGCCUGCUACAUAUUCUUCAUUCACUCACCUCCCAAACCAGUAUGAUUACUCUCAAACAAAAAAACUGAAGCUGAAAGAAUCUGAAUCUGAAUGGUUUGCAUUUGAGGGAAAUGCAAGAGUUAGUGAGCGCUGGUGUGUCUGCUUUUUCUAAGGGUUUUAUGAAAAAUUAAGAUUUCAUUUGAGAAUAAGAAAUUCAAAUCUCUACUCUUCUCUAUUUGAACAGGGACUGUGAAAGAGAAUCCCAAUAGAAUGCUUUAACCAUUGGAAUCAUAAAUCUGUCUGCAUUCUAGGAAAGGAAAGCCAGUUCCUUUUUUCGAGUGUCUUUGAGUGUCAUAGAAUCAUAGAAUUACUCAGGUUGGUAAGGACCUCAAGGAUCAUCAAGUCCAACCGCAGCCUAACCACAGUACCCUAACAACCCUCUGCUAAACCAUCUCUCUGAGCACCACAUCCAAACAGCUCUUAAACACAUCCAGGGACAGUGACUCAACCACCUCCUUGGGGAGCCUAUUCCAGUGUUUAACCACUCUUUCUGUAAAGAAGUGUUUCCUAACGUCCAACCUGUCUUGGUGCCCUGGACUUGCAUGCCUCUGAUCUGUCAGUACAACUCAUCUUCAAAUUUCCGGAAUGGCUGAUGCAGAAAUCAUGCAGAGAAGAGCCUGAUCCCCCCAAAAAAACAACUGUGAUAUAUUUCUUGAGCUUCAAAGAAUGGAGGAGCCCUGUGGAAAAAUAAUAAUUGGAAAUAAUAGUAAACAAAUGUAUUGAUUACCCAAAUUUCCCUACUGAAUGAACUGUUGGAUAGUUUCUGUCUAUAUUGACUCCCUAAUAGCUAGAAAUGAAUUCAGUGUCAGCCAGGCUAGUUAGGUAAUUGAGGUCAGAAAAUGUAUACACAAGUGGUAAAGAUCAAUAACUUGCAUACAGCAUACAGAUAGUAAAGUUUAUACCUACAAUGGAAACAUAAAUACAUAUAAAUUCGAUGCCUAUAUGUAUACUACAUAUAUUUACAUAAGUGUACAUAUAUAUGUGUAACUGCAUAAACAUUCAUUUAUAUACAUCUAAAUAUUCCACCCAACCCAAUGUAUCAUAAAGAAAACUGCCAUAAAAUAAUUUUUGCUUCUAAAAGAAUAAUAUUUUGUAAGAUAUGUAAACUACAGUCAAGUCUGUAUUGAACUACUCAAGAAUUAUUUGGUUAAAGGGUAAAUACACCUUGUAACUCAUAAUGAAAAUCUUAAAGGUAGGGGUGGAGAUUAACACUGCAGGCUGUCUACAGAAUAUUAAUAAAAUUCAAUAUAUUUUCUAAAAGGUGUAAUUUAUAUUUUGUGGAAAUGAGUCUCUUUUCUAAUAAAGUUCUUCUGUCCUUCAUUCUGUUCAUAUAAUUUUUCUAUAAAUCAUCCUGUAGGAUUUUUUUCUAAAUAUUCAUCUCAGAUAGAACCUAUUUAAAUAAGCCCUCUUAGCAAGAUAUUUCUGAAUUAAAAUUACACCAUGAGCAAUACUUUAUCCAAUAUGCUUCCUCCUAUAGAAUUUCUUUGUGACUAAAACAAUAUGUUGUCGAAUUACAUUAUGUUAAAAUAAAUGAUUUGAAGUGAUGCUCCC
Molecule: long non-coding RNA, 2060 nt
Organism: Gallus gallus (chicken)
Lineage: Eukaryota; Metazoa; Chordata; Aves; Galliformes; Phasianidae
Source: Ensembl